UUGCAGAAGAACUAGGGUUCCGAUCAUUGGAUGCGCUCCAAUGGUGUCUGGUCCGAGAGUUCUCGGUCUUGUCGGAGACAAGGCUCCACGGAGGGAUAAAAGCCCGGGAGGA
RNAcentral lists this small RNA (112 nucleotides) under Ferriphaselus amnicola. RNAcentral's name for it is "Guanidine-I sequence". It matches the Rfam family "Guanidine-I riboswitch aptamer". Rfam says of the family: This family represents a conserved RNA structure found upstream of the ykkC and yxkD genes in Bacillus subtilis and related genes in other bacteria. The function of this family is unclear although it has been suggested that it may function to switch on efflux pumps and detoxification systems in response to harmful environmental molecules. The record is from Rfam by way of RNAcentral. Lineage: Bacteria; Pseudomonadati; Pseudomonadota; Betaproteobacteria; Nitrosomonadales; Gallionellaceae.